This 635-nucleotide ribosomal RNA is filed under the name Passiflora edulis. RNAcentral describes it as "eukaryotic LSU rRNA". The stretch from base 231 to 386 matches the Rfam family "5.8S ribosomal RNA". The record is from RNAcentral. Lineage: Eukaryota; Viridiplantae; Streptophyta; Magnoliopsida; Malpighiales; Passifloraceae.
UUGUCGAAACCUGCAAAGCAGAACGACCCGCGAACCGUUGUCGAAAACAACGACGGGGCGGGGGCGAGCCGCGGGCCCGUCCCGCUCUCUCCCCCGGCCCCGUCCCACGAACAAAACCCCGGCGCGAGAUGCGCCAAGGAAUCAAAAACGAAAAGACAGGGAACGGGCGGCCCGUCGCGUGCCGGAAACGGAUCUCUCGCGGGCGGCCCUUUCUCUUUCGGAAACAAAACGACUCUCGGCAACGGAUAUCUCGGCUCUCGCAUCGAUGAAGAACGUAGCGAAAUGCGAUACUUGGUGUGAAUUGCAGAAUCCCGUGAACCAUCGAGUCUUUGAACGCAAGUUGCGCCCGAAGCCUUCGGGCCGAGGGCACGUCUGCCUGGGUGUCAUGCAUCGUCGCCCCCCCAUCCUUCCGUCUCCCCCGAGGGGGAAGGGGGUACGGGGCGGGCGGAGAUUGGUCUCCCGUGCGCUCCCGCUCGCGGUUGGCCGAAAUACGAGUUGUUGGCGGCCGAGAGCGCCACGGCAAGCGGUGGUUGUCAAAGACCUUCGGAGAUUGCCGUUGGCGAGGCCGUCACGAGGCUCCGGGACCCUGUUUUCUAACCACAGCGACCCCAGGUCAGGCGGGAUUACCCGCUGAG